RNAcentral lists this ribosomal RNA (301 nucleotides) under uncultured bacterium. RNAcentral describes it as "partial 16S ribosomal RNA". It matches the Rfam family "Bacterial small subunit ribosomal RNA", at positions 509 to 807 of the family's 1533-position model. The record is from RNAcentral.
CAGCAGCCGCGGUAAUACGGAGGGCGCGAGCGUUACCCGGAUUUACUGGGCGUAAAGGGCGUGUAGGCGGCCUGGGGCGUCCCAUGUGAAAGGCCACGGCUCAACCGUGGAGGAGCGUGGGAUACGCUCAGGCUAGAGGGUGGGAGAGGGUGGUGGAAUUCCCGGAGUAGCGGUGAAAUGCGCAGAUACCGGGAGGAACGCCGAUGGCGAAGGCAGCCACCUGGUCCACUUCUGACGCUGAGGCGCGAAAGCGUGGGGAGCAAACCGGAUUAGAUACCCGAGUAGUCCCUGUCUCUUAUAC